GCUGCUGCGGGUGGUGACAGUGUUGGAGGUCUCCUCCGCCUCCUCAUCUUCCUUCACCUCCAGGACCUCGUUAAAGAACCUGAAGAUGGAGUUGAAACUCAUCCAGGAGAAAGCGAUCAAUGCCGCAGCGCUCUCUCAUUCACCCUGAACUGGCGGUGAACUCCUCCGGAACGCCGCCAGGCUCUCCACCCUAUCCCAUCGCAGUCCGGGGUCACCAGGGGGGCGUCUCUGUGCCAAUAUGCAGAUGAGCCUGUGCCCCUCCAAUGACUCUGUUGUGAAGCUCCACCCCCUCUAUAUGGUAGAGAACCCCCCCCCCCUUCUCUUGACAACACUCCCACACAUAGAGACAUAAACCCGCUCUCUCACUGGCUUAAAUAGGCCUUUAACAGCUUACGUCCACUCUUCCUUUAAUAGCCAAAGUGUGUCCGACCUAAUGGAUGUUGUCAAAGCUGAGAUGUGAGCGCUGAUUUAAAGGAGGAACCCCAGUGACCAGGCUUCGCUCGCCACUAAAAAGACCCAGAGAAAGAGCGAGAGAGUGGAAGAGAGGGAAUUACCUCAGCUCGGCUACAAAUCAAAGUAAUAUCUUUAAAAGAUGUGGGGAUCGAUGAGGUGUCAUCAGGCUGUAUCGGUGUGUAAAGUGAACCCAUAAACAGCCAAUGAGCACAACUUCAUCCCUAAUUCUUGUUCCUUACUGUAAAAAGUUUUUCAACUGAUAAGCAGAUUUCUUUAUGCGUUAUUGAUUUCAUGUGUUGUUAAAAUAUAACGGAUUAAGAGCUUUAACAUUUCAAUAAAACUGUCUCGCAUUUAACUGAUGCUUUCAAAAUAAAGUGUUAUAAAGUA
Notolabrus celidotus (New Zealand spotty) is the source of this 840-nucleotide long non-coding RNA. RefSeq lists it as uncharacterized. The transcript has 2 exons. The record is from RefSeq and is a predicted model, not a curated record. NCBI's taxonomy places the organism in Eukaryota, Metazoa, Chordata, Actinopteri, Labriformes, Labridae.